RNAcentral lists this ribosomal RNA (450 nucleotides) under uncultured bacterium. RNAcentral's name for it is "partial 16S ribosomal RNA". It matches the Rfam family "Bacterial small subunit ribosomal RNA", at positions 354 to 796 of the family's 1533-position model. The record is from RNAcentral.
GUGGGGAAUAUUGGACAAUGGGCGAAAGCCUGAUCCAGCCAUGCCGCGUGUGUGAAGAAGGUCUUCGGAUUGUAAAGCACUUUAAGUUGGGAGGAAGGGCAGUAAGUUAAUACCUUGCUGUUUUGACGUUACCAACAGAAUAAGCACCGGCUAACUUCGUGCCAGCAGCCGCGGUAAUACGAAGGGUGCAAGCGUUAAUCGGAAUUACUGGGCGUAAAGCGCGCGUAGGUGGUUUUGUAAGUUGGAGGUGAAAUCACCGGGCUCAACCUGGGAACUGCCUCCAAAACUGCAUGACUAGAGUCCGGUAGAGGGUAGUGGAAUUUCCUGUGUAGCGGUGAAAUGCGUAGAUAUAGGAAGGAACACCAGUGGCGAAGGCGACUACCUGGACUGAUACUGACACUGAGGUGCGAAAGCGUGGGGAGCAAACAGGAUUAGAUACCCCUGUAGUCC